RNAcentral lists this long non-coding RNA (218 nucleotides) under Lathyrus oleraceus (garden pea). RNAcentral describes it as "Pisum sativum (pea) long non-coding RNA (PSAT_LNC037636)". Lineage: Eukaryota; Viridiplantae; Streptophyta; Magnoliopsida; Fabales; Fabaceae. The record is from RNAcentral.
UUUGAUAUGCUUAUCAUGUUACGGAUUAUGUUUGAUCAUGAAUUAUUUGAUGAUUUAUUGAAUUGUUUAUGAUUGGUUUUGAGUUAAGUCUUGCUGUUGACUUCUAUGAGCUUCUAUAUGCCAUGCCUUGACCUAAUUUGCUUAUGAAAUCAUAAUGAUGAAUGAUAUGAACAUGGAACCACUUGAGUUUGCUUCUUGAUUGUUUGCAUAUCAUUUUU